RNAcentral lists this ribosomal RNA (2098 nucleotides) under Escherichia coli. Its description in RNAcentral is "partial 23S ribosomal RNA". It matches the Rfam family "Bacterial large subunit ribosomal RNA", at positions 717 to 2796 of the family's 2925-position model. The record is from RNAcentral. Lineage: Bacteria; Pseudomonadati; Pseudomonadota; Gammaproteobacteria; Enterobacterales; Enterobacteriaceae.
GAAACCCGGUGAUCUAGCCAUGGGCAGGUUGAAGGUUGGGUAACACUAACUGGAGGACCGAACCGACUAAUGUUGAAAAAUUAGCGGAUGACUUGUGGCUGGGGGUGAAAGGCCAAUCAAACCGGGAGAUAGCUGGUUCUCCCCGAAAGCUAUUUAGGUAGCGCCUCGUGAAUUCAUCUCCGGGGGUAGAGCACUGUUUCGGCAAGGGGGUCAUCCCGACUUACCAACCCGAUGCAAACUGCGAAUACCGGAGAAUGUUAUCACGGGAGACACACGGCGGGUGCUAACGUCCGUCGUGAAGAGGGAAACAACCCAGACCGCCAGCUAAGGUCCCAAAGUCAUGGUUAAGUGGGAAACGAUGUGGGAAGGCCCAGACAGCCAGGAUGUUGGCUUAGAAGCAGCCAUCAUUUAAAGAAAGCGUAAUAGCUCACUGGUCGAGUCGGCCUGCGCGGAAGAUGUAACGGGGCUAAACCAUGCACCGAAGCUGCGGCAGCGACACUAUGUGUUGUUGGGUAGGGGAGCGUUCUGUAAGCCUGUGAAGGUGGCCUGUGAGGGUUGCUGGAGGUAUCAGAAGUGCGAAUGCUGACAUAAGUAACGAUAAAGCGGGUGAAAAGCCCGCUCGCCGGAAGACCAAGGGUUCCUGUCCAACGUUAAUCGGGGCAGGGUGAGUCGACCCCUAAGGCGAGGCCGAAAGGCGUAGUCGAUGGGAAACAGGUUAAUAUUCCUGUACUUGGUGUUACUGCGAAGGGGGGACGGAGAAGGCUAUGUUGGCCGGGCGACGGUUGUCCCGGUUUAAGCGUGUAGGCUGGUUUUCCAGGCAAAUCCGGAAAACCAAGGCUGAGGCGUGAUGACGAGGCACUACGGUGCUGAAGCGACAAAUGCCCUGCUUCCAGGAAAAGCCUCUAAGCAUCAGGUAACAUCAAAUCGUACCCCAAACCGACACAGGUGGUCAGGUAGAGAAUACCAAGGCGCUUGAGAGAACUCGGGUGAAGGAACUAGGCAAAAUGGUGCCGUAACUUCGGGAGAAGGCACGCUGAUAUGUAGGUGAAGCGACUUGCUCGUGGAGCUGAAAUCAGUCGAAGAUACCAGCUGGCUGCAACUGUUUAUUAAAAACACAGCACUGUGCAAACACGAAAGUGGACGUAUACGGUGUGACGCCUGCCCGGUGCCGGAAGGUUAAUUGAUGGGGUUAGCGGCAACGCGAAGCUCUUGAUCGAAGCCCCGGUAAACGGCGGCCGUAACUAUAACGGUCCUAAGGUAGCGAAAUUCCUUGUCGGGUAAGUUCCGACCUGCACGAAUGGCGUAAUGAUGGCCAGGCUGUCUCCACCCGAGACUCAGUGAAAUUGAACUCGCUGUGAAGAUGCAGUGUACCCGCGGCAAGACGGAAAGACCCCGUGAACCUUUACUAUAGCUUGACACUGAACAUUGAGCCUUGAUGUGUAGGAUAGGUGGGAGGCUUUGAAGUGUGGACGCCAGUCUGCAUGGAGCCGACCUUGAAAUACCACCCUUUAAUGUUUGAUGUUCUAACGUUGGCCCGUAAUCCGGGUUGCGGACAGUGUCUGGUGGGUAGUUUGACUGGGGCGGUCUCCUCCUAAAGAGUAACGGAGGAGCACGAAGGUUGGCUAAUCCUGGUCGGACAUCAGGAGGUUAGUGCAAUGGCAUAAGCCAGCUUGACUGCGAGCGUGACGGCGCGAGCAGGUGCGAAAGCAGGUCAUAGUGAUCCGGUGGUUCUGAAUGGAAGGGCCAUCGCUCAACGGAUAAAAGGUACUCCGGGGAUAACAGGCUGAUACCGCCCAAGAGUUCAUAUCGACGGCGGUGUUUGGCACCUCGAUGUCGGCUCAUCACAUCCUGGGGCUGAAGUAGGUCCCAAGGGUAUGGCUGUUCGCCAUUUAAAGUGGUACGCGAGCUGGGUUUAGAACGUCGUGAGACAGUUCGGUCCCUAUCUGCCGUGGGCGCUGGAGAACUGAGGGGGGCUGCUCCUAGUACGAGAGGACCGGAGUGGACGCAUCACUGGUGUUCGGGUUGUCAUGCCAAUGGCACUGCCCGGUAGCUAAAUGCGGAAGAGAUAAGUGCUGAAAGCAUCUAAGCACGAAACUUG